This 471-nucleotide long non-coding RNA is filed under the name Mytilus galloprovincialis (Mediterranean mussel). The record is from RNAcentral. Lineage: Eukaryota; Metazoa; Mollusca; Bivalvia; Mytilida; Mytilidae.
ACCCAGUCAGCAGACUAACAGUGGGCCAACGUUGGCAAAUGGUCGGCCCGUUGGUCGACCGUUGGUGUUGGCUUCACAACAUUGGCCCAACGUUGGCAAAUUGUCGGUCCGUUGGUCGCAAGUUUAUGUUGGCUGCACAACAUUAGCCCAACGUUGGCAAAUUGUCGGUCCGUUGGUCGCAAGUUUAAGUUGGCUGCACAACAUUGGCCCAACGUUGGUAAAUUGUCGGUAAAUUGGUCGCACGUUGGUGUCGGCUGCACAAUAUUGGCCCAACGUUGGUCUGUUGUUGUAAAUUCAUAUUAUUAUCUCAUGUUGGUUAUAAAUAAUCGGGCAAACGUUGGCAUUAUAUGUUAGUAGCAACAUAAAACCGAUAUGAAAUUUUGUUAAUAGAAUUGAUUAUAUAAUAUUUUACGCUUUAUUUCUCUUGGGAGGCGGAUAAUUUCGAUUGCAGCAGGCUUUAUGAAAAGUUAA